Molecule: long non-coding RNA, 444 nt
Filed under: Phascolarctos cinereus (koala)
Lineage: Eukaryota; Metazoa; Chordata; Mammalia; Diprotodontia; Phascolarctidae
Description: lncRNA (ENSPCIG00000022090.2)
Source: RNAcentral
CUCCCAUUGCAUCACAAUUCAACUCUGGCAUUCUCAUGAGAACCUCACAGGCUUUCACGUAACUAUAAUACUUAGAGCUCACAUUCACACAAAUACAGACAACUCUGCCCCAUCUCUACCCAUCUCCCUCUCUUGGAAGACUUCCCCAAACCUCCAACAUCACUCCCCUUGGGAAAGCAGCGGUCUCUCAAGAAGGAGGCUCCCAAGAUUCCUCACCUGUGUCCUAAAUAAAGGAUUUGGAAAACAGCCAGGAGACAAGGGCCUUGAGAGAAGGGAAUGGGAGACACAGCAUCGUCACUGAAGAAACCACCCAGGGCUGCUGCCCACAUUUCCACCCACAGAAGAAGAACCAUUUCCAUUGCCAAAAUACAGCUUUUGGAAAAUUCCGUAGGGGAAUAAGGGUAGCCUAUGAAGAGAAUAAAGAGUUUCAGAGAGAUGUGUUCA